UACGUAGGCAGCGAGCGUUGUUCGGAAUUACUGGGCGUAAAGAGUGUGUAGGCGGUGCUCCCAGUCUGUUGUGAAAUCUCCCGGCUUAACUGGGAGGGUGCAGCGGAAACUAGAGUGCUAGAGGGUGGGAGAGGUAAGCGGAAUUCCUGGUGUAGCGGUGAAAUGCGUAGAUAUCAGGAGGAACACCUGUGGUGUAGACAGCUUACUGGACCACUUCUGACGCUGAGACGCGAAAGCGUGGGGAGCAAACAGG
Molecule: ribosomal RNA, 253 nt
Filed under: uncultured bacterium
Lineage: Bacteria
Description: partial 16S ribosomal RNA
Rfam family: Bacterial small subunit ribosomal RNA
Source: RNAcentral